GUGGGGAAUAUUGGACAAUGGGCGGAAGCCUGAUCCAGCAACGCCGCGUGAGGGAUGACGGCCUUCGGGUUGUAAACCUCUUUCACCAUUGACGAAGCCGUGCCUUUUUUGGGUGUGGUGACGGUAGGUGGGGAAGAAGCACCGGCCAACUACGUGCCAGCAGCCGCGGUAAUACGUAGGGUGCGAGCGUUGUCCGGAAUUAUUGGGCGUAAAGGGCUCGUAGGCGGUUUGUCGCGUCGGGAGUGAAAUUCUACAGCUUAACUGUGGGCUUGCUUUCGAUACGGGCAGACUAGAGGUAUGCAGGGGAGAACGGAAUUCCUGGUGUAGCGGUGAAAUGCGCAGAUAUCAGGAGGAACACCGGUGGCGAAGGCGGUUCUCUGGGCAUGAUCUGACGCUGAGGAGCGAAAGUGUGGGGAGCGAA
This 421-nucleotide ribosomal RNA is filed under the name uncultured bacterium. RNAcentral's name for it is "bacterial SSU rRNA". It matches the Rfam family "Bacterial small subunit ribosomal RNA", at positions 354 to 772 of the family's 1533-position model. The record is from RNAcentral.